This 356-nucleotide long non-coding RNA is filed under the name Callithrix jacchus (white-tufted-ear marmoset). Its description in RNAcentral is "lncRNA (ENSCJAG00000070361.1)". The record is from RNAcentral. Lineage: Eukaryota; Metazoa; Chordata; Mammalia; Primates; Cebidae.
ACAGAUUAAUGCUUCCAACCAGAGACACAUAAUUGUUGCAUUGAAAUGGAAGUUAAGACUGCUACCUGGUCACUUUGGUCUCUUGAAUCAACAAAGAAAACCCUUAUUGUGCUUGCUGGGAGGAUUGAUCCUACCUACCCAGGAGAAAUUUGACUACUUCCUCAUUAUGGAGAUUUAAAGUCAGACCGAAACUCAUACCAUCAGCUUUCCUGGUUCUCAGCCCUUUGGACUCAGGCUGGAAUGAUACCAUUGCCUCUUCUCAGUCUUCAGCCUGUUUACUGCAGAUUUGGGAUUUCCCAGCUUCUAUAAAUGGCCUAUAUCCUCUGCAUGAAACAGGAAGCAAGCCAAAGGAAUAA